This 199-nucleotide unclassified non-coding RNA is filed under the name uncultured fungus. RNAcentral describes it as "sequence contains ITS1". The record is from RNAcentral. Lineage: Eukaryota; Fungi.
ACAGUUUGACGGUCCGCCACCUUUCCUCCGGGAGAGGUUGGUGUCGACACGUUCUUACACCCCUUGUGAAAUCAACCCCGGUGCUUCGGUGGCAGGCUCCCUCCCGUUCAGCGGGCGGGGAACCAUAGGCCCACCGGCCGUAAACCAUUGUGAUAUUUUUGCAGAGUCUUUGACCAAUUUCGUUUGAAAUAACAAGUUA